Molecule: ribosomal RNA, 503 nt
Filed under: uncultured bacterium
Lineage: Bacteria
Description: partial 16S ribosomal RNA
Rfam family: Bacterial small subunit ribosomal RNA
Source: RNAcentral
AUUGAACGCUGGCGGCAGGCUUAACACAUGCAAGUCGAGCGGGGUGAUGGUGCUUGCACUAUCACUUAGCGGCGGACGGGUGAGUAAUGCUUAGGAAUCUGCCUAUUAGUGGGGGACAACAUCUCGAAAGGGAUGCUAAUACCGCAUACGUCCUACGGGAGAAAGCAGGGGAUCACUUGUGACCUUGCGCUAAUAGAUGAGCCUAAGUCGGAUUAGCUAGUUGGAGGGGUAAAGGCCUACCAAGGCGACGAUCUGUAGCGGGUCUGAGAGGAUGAUCCGCCACACUGGGACUGAGACACGGCCCAGACUCCUACGGGAGGCAGCAGUGGGGAAUAUUGGACAAUGGGGGGAACCCUGAUCCAGCCACGCCGCGUGUGUGAAGAAGGCCUUAUGGUUGUAAAGCACUUUAAGCGAGGAGGAGGCUCUUUUGGUUAAUACCCAAGAUGAGUGGACGUUACUCGCAGAAUAAGCACCGGCUAACUCUGUGCCAGCCGCCGCCGUAA